CCGGAAUGGAGUUAUUCACCUUGUUGUAGUUAUAAUAUUGUUCAAAAUAUAUGUUGGGAUCAAUUGACCCAAAUCAGAAUAUUAUACUCAGCAGUGUGAAAAAUUGAAAAAUGCAGCAAUCAAAAACAGUAAAUUAAACUAUUGCACUGCAGAAAAUAAAUAGACUGCAAGAACUUUAGAAUUGUUGACCCAGUUCAACUAUGAGCACUAGUUAAACUGUCCAGAGAAAGGGAAAGUGCAAGAAACCAAAAAUCAGAUCUAGAUUUUUGGCCAAGAACUACAACACCAGUGUAUUUCAGCUCCUAAACACCAAGAAUCAAUCCUAAUCGAACUUUACAAUAAAUCGAACAUAGUUACCUAAUCAACACGGCCACAAAACCGACAUAAGGCAACUAUACAAGAUCGACCACUUAGGGUUACAACUCUUUUUCAAGAUCACAACCACAAAAAUCGAAAGUGAGAAGAGAGGAAUUUUCUGAGAGUGCUCAGGAAAGAGAACCUUGAAGCUAAAACAAGUUGAACUGAAUGAAUCUCAAAAGGCUAACUCCAAAACACGUAUUAAUGGUCAGAUUUCAUCCACAUAGGAGGAUAUCAUCCACAAUGUAACCCAAAA
Molecule: long non-coding RNA, 613 nt
Filed under: Olea europaea subsp. europaea
Lineage: Eukaryota; Viridiplantae; Streptophyta; Magnoliopsida; Lamiales; Oleaceae
Source: RNAcentral